This is a non-coding RNA of Silurus meridionalis, 430 nucleotides long. NCBI's taxonomy places the organism in Eukaryota, Metazoa, Chordata, Actinopteri, Siluriformes, Siluridae. The record is from the annotation of a RefSeq genome assembly.
UGCUGAACUAAGAGCAUAUUUUAUUUACCAAAUCAAAAUGCCUAUAAUCAUAUAUGCUUUUUUCCUCUUUUUGGUCACAGAAGCCAUUUUGGGAGUAACACUGGAGCAAAAAGAUCUCUCACUGACAAAAGAUUUAGACAAAUCUGUAACUAUUAGCUGCCAUGUGACCGGGUUAACGACUGAAUAUGUCCACUGGUACCAAAAGAAAGAAGGUGAUGCCCUCAGAAGGAUUAUCUAUGUAAAAACUGGAAGCUCAGCUGUUCCUGAUAAUAGCCAUCCUGAAGCAAAGGACUUCAGUGUGAGGAUACAGUCUGAUAAUUAUGAUCUGAAGAUAGCACGCCUCAAGAAAAGUCACUCAGCAGUUUAUUACUGUGCCAGCUGGGAGACAGGCUCCCACAGUGAGAAUAAAUAUCCACAGCGUGUACAAUAA